This 72-nucleotide transfer RNA is filed under the name Euglenaformis proxima. Its description in RNAcentral is "tRNA-Asn". It matches the Rfam family "tRNA". Rfam says of the family: Transfer RNA (tRNA) molecules are approximately 80 nucleotides in length. The record is from RNAcentral. Lineage: Eukaryota; Euglenozoa; Euglenophyceae; Euglenales; Euglenaceae.
UCCUUAGUAGCUCAAUGGUAGAGCAAUCGGCUGUUAACCGGUUUGCUGUAGGUUCGAAUCCUACCUGGGGAG